GCCGGGCUAGCUCAAUCGGUAGAGCGUGUGGCUUUUACAGUAUACACGAUCUGACACCACAAGGCUGCGAGUUCGAGCCUCGCGUUCGGCU
Transfer RNA from Microsporum canis CBS 113480, 91 nucleotides. It matches the Rfam family "tRNA". From Rfam's summary of the family: Transfer RNA (tRNA) molecules are approximately 80 nucleotides in length. Their secondary structure includes four short double-helical elements and three loops (D, anti-codon, and T loops). The record is from Rfam. NCBI's taxonomy places the organism in Eukaryota, Fungi, Ascomycota, Eurotiomycetes, Onygenales, Arthrodermataceae.